ACGUUAGUCUAUAACUUCUUUGUUUAAUCAAAUAAAAAACUAAAAAUGCAAUUUUACGGCUUUGUGGUUAUGAGCUGGACUAUUUCUCAGCCUUAACUGCUUCAAGAAAGCGAUGUUAAGGUGAAACAUAGCCUACAAGGAAACGGACUUCUGUACCCUCAGCGUUUAAUAUGAAGCAGAAAAAGGAGGGGAGAGGAGAGGCGCGUGUGCUGAUUUCCACCUUUGUCAAAAACAGACCGGAGGACUGAGACGGGUCGGAGGAGAACGACAGGAUCCUAUAGAUUGUUUCGAUUGAGACGUGAAAUCUCCUGACAGCACCCAGCAAUGGAUCUGGACAAAACGGAAAAGUUGGCCACAGCCAAACUCGAACAAAACGGAGAUUUAAAUGUGAGCAAAAGAAUGGAAAGAAAAAAGAAAAAAAAAAAAAAAGGUUGCCUGGGGUUUGGGCCCCAUUGAGUGU
Molecule: long non-coding RNA, 460 nt
Organism: Etheostoma spectabile (orangethroat darter)
Lineage: Eukaryota; Metazoa; Chordata; Actinopteri; Perciformes; Percidae
Exons: 3
Source: RefSeq, a predicted model, not a curated record